RNAcentral lists this transfer RNA (74 nucleotides) under Megaleporinus elongatus. RNAcentral describes it as "tRNA-Pro". The record is from RNAcentral. Lineage: Eukaryota; Metazoa; Chordata; Actinopteri; Characiformes; Anostomidae.
CCCACGAAACAACGGCGAUUCUAACUCCCACCACUAACUCCCAAAGCCAGUAUUCUAACUCAAACUCUUUCCUG